This 603-nucleotide ribosomal RNA is filed under the name Triticum aestivum (bread wheat). RNAcentral describes it as "partial small subunit ribosomal RNA". Lineage: Eukaryota; Viridiplantae; Streptophyta; Magnoliopsida; Poales; Poaceae. The record is from RNAcentral.
AUGGCCGUCCUUGACCCUGAGAGUGACAAGUUAUUCAAUGAAGCUUUAGCUGCCCAUGACCAUAUGGGAAUCGGCACAAUAUUGCGGGAAUGCCAUGGCUUAUUCAAUGGCUUGCAGUCGCUGACCGACUGUUGUGGUGGUGAUGGAACAACAGCUAGGGCCAUUGUUAAGGCCUUCCCUCACAUAAAGUGCAACGUUUUGGACCUUCCAAGGGUGAUCAAUAAAGCUCCAAGCGAUGGCCUCGUUAACUAUAUCGCUGGUGACAUGUUCCAUUCCAUCCCACCUGCUCAAGCUGUAAUGCUCAAGCUUGUUCUACACUUCUGGAGCGACAAGGACUGCAUCAAUAUCCUAACUCAAUGCAAGAAGGCCAUUCCUUCUCGAGAAGUGGGAGGAAAAGUUAUUAUCAUGGACAUUGUGGUUGACUCUUCUUCAGGACCGUUAUUCGAAACCCAAAUGCUGAUGGAUAUGGUAAUGAUGGUAUGUACCAGGGGACGACAACGUGAUGAAAAUGAUUGGAGUGCCAUCUUUAUGGAGGCAGGGUUUAGCGACUACAAAAUUGUCAAGAAGCUUGGAGCUCGAGGUGUCAUCGAGGUCUAUCCAUAA